This 1234-nucleotide long non-coding RNA is filed under the name Homo sapiens (human). RNAcentral's name for it is "HSALNT0096274". Lineage: Eukaryota; Metazoa; Chordata; Mammalia; Primates; Hominidae. The record is from RNAcentral.
CUUUUAUUCCCACAAGGCUACAGGAUAGGUGGAAUUGGAAUGAGGAGCCCUGUUUUACAGAGAAGGAAACCGAAGCUCCUGUGCUGACGGUCAGUUAGUUACAAAGGUCUUAAUCCAAAACUCUGAACCAUUUUGUUAAUUUAUCUUUCAGUAACAGUUCAAUUAAGUUAGACAAAUAUCCCAAAAAGCUCUUAGCUGGCCCUCAAGGCACUUGAGUUCACAGCCCAGAAGAAAGGAAGUAAAGACACGGUAAGGUAACUUUUCUUUGUUUCAGACUCAUUAUGUCAGAGAUUAAGAGAGAGCUCUUCAAAAUUGUUGGAUCCAACCCCCCACUAUAAAGUUGGAGUAACUGAGGCCCAGUGAGGGCAAUGGCUGGUCUGAGGUCACAAGUGAGGGAGGGACGAGACCAGACUCUCUCACCUGCCUGUUGCUGUCUUCACAGCUAUGAAAACAAACACAUGCGCCGCGCACGGUGGCUCACGCCUGUAAUCCCAGCACUUUGGGAGGCCAAGGCGGGUGGAUCACCUGAGAUCAGGAGUUCGAGACCAGCCUGACCAACAUGGAGAAACUCCAUCUCUAUUAAAAAUACAAAAUUAGCCAGGUGUGGUAGCACAUGUCUGUAAUCCCAGCUACUCGGGAAGCUGAGGCAGGAGAAUCGCUUGAACCCGGGAGGCAGAGGUGGCAGUGAGCCAAAUUCAUGCCAUUGCACUCCAGCCUGGGCAACAAGAGCGAAAGUCCAUCUCAAAAAAAAAAAAAAAGAAGAAAAAGAAAAGAAAGAAAAGAAAACAAACACGCGCUAACCUGCAAUAAACUAGUCUGGUCAGCCAGGGUAGGGAGAAGUGCCCUUUGGCCAGCAGUCAGAAACAAGUGCAUGGCAGAUGCAGAUUUGAACCCAGGCAUCCAAAUUCCUGGUCCAGUACUCUAGCGCGGCCUGGAUGGAGAUGGGUGGUGAAAUGGAUGGGAAGAUUUGUCAGUUUGCCCCAGCACAUUUACUAUCCUUCCCACCACCCCGCCCAGCACAUUCAACUGGCCCCUGCCACCAACCCCCUCAUUCAAAGUACAGACACUACUCAUUUUACAGACAGAGGUUCAGGAUGUUUUUGGAUCUGACAUAGCCCAAACCAGGGCAGAGGCUGUAGCAAGGGGAGGAAGCUGGGAAAGCCUGAGGGUCAGAGGGGACUGGAACAAUCAGGCUUGGCCAUGGCGGCUGGUGCUGAUAACCAUUUCUUGGCAG